This 619-nucleotide long non-coding RNA is filed under the name Pogona vitticeps (central bearded dragon). RNAcentral's name for it is "lncRNA (ENSPVIG00000003732.1)". The record is from RNAcentral. Lineage: Eukaryota; Metazoa; Chordata; Lepidosauria; Squamata; Agamidae.
GUUUGAAAAGACUGCAAAGAAAAUCACCUGAUGCUUUUUAUUCUUAGAAGUCCAUGUAAUAAGGCAACGACAAUUCUAGGUUGGGUUUUUUAAAAAAAUAUUUUUUUUUUCAGAAGAUACAUAGUUUGCAAGCUAAACAGUUUGCAUUAACACUGUCCAGUUGAUAACACCAAACAACAGCUGCUCUCCUCUAUGUUAUGGAGAAAAUGGUUACCAUUUCACAAAACCAUGACAGAAGCAAGGAUUUACAUUUCUAAAUUGUGACUAGGAAGGAACACAUAUAGUGGAGCUGUGUUUUCUGCUGGCUUUACAAGAGGUUCUGAGGUGUUUAUAUUGAGGAUAACAUCAAAAUCAGUACUUGAUGACGUCCAGACUACAGAGCAAUUGGAAAACUCAUCAAUGUCGCAAGAUCUGUCAACUCCUGGUGAAAAAAAGAGCACAUCUUUUAACUCUUGACUUGGAGUGCACCUUUUAAAGUGAAACCUUAUGAAGAAAGCUGGAUGAAUGAUGCCCGCCUCCACUCAUAAGCACGCAAGUGUGACGCAGCCUUCCUUCUGCACAUUAACUUCAAAAGCUCCUGACAAUCUGUGUUGGCAAGCCCAUUACAUCCGUUCCCUUC